AUGCAAGACUAUUUCGCGGAGAAUCCUACAUAUCCUCCGCACCUCUUCCGGAGGAGGUACCGAAUGUGCCGAUCUCUCUUUGUGAAAAUUGUUGAAGCUUGCGAGGCAAAUUGCCGGUAUUUUACUCAAAGAAGAAAUGUUGUGGGCUUAAAGGGAUUUAGUGCAUAUCAAAAAAUCUAUGCAGCUAUGCGGGUGAUUGCAUAUGGCGUUCCGGCUGACUAUGCCGAUGAGUACCUUCGCAUUGGUGAAGAUAGCACAAUUGAGUCUGUGCGUAGAUUUGCGAAAGUGAUCAUCCGUGUCUUCGCUCCUGAGUAUCUUCGGGCACCAAUGAAGAUGACACAAAGAAAUUGA
Molecule: ribosomal RNA, 351 nt
Filed under: Triticum aestivum (bread wheat)
Lineage: Eukaryota; Viridiplantae; Streptophyta; Magnoliopsida; Poales; Poaceae
Description: partial small subunit ribosomal RNA
Source: RNAcentral